Molecule: long non-coding RNA, 3038 nt
Organism: Equus caballus (horse)
Lineage: Eukaryota; Metazoa; Chordata; Mammalia; Perissodactyla; Equidae
Source: Ensembl
GGCUCGCGCGUCCUCUGCUCUCCCCCUCCCGCACCGCGGCCCGCGCCGGAGAACCCGCGCCGCGCCCUGUCCUGCUGUCUCCCGCGGCAGGAGACGGGGUGGGACUGUCAACCGUGGAGGGGGUUGGCCGGCACCCCACCACCUGCUGUCCUGCUCGCGCCCGUCUACCUAGGAGUCUUUACCUAGGUGCUGCAGGAAAUCGUGUGUGGCUCUCUCUGACCCGCCUCAGAGAUGCAGUAUGGUGUAAACUGGGGUUGAGAGCACGGGCUUCUCACCCGUUGCUCAGGUCACGUCCUGCUGCUACGCUCGUAGCUGAUAACCGGGGACAGCUUGCCCGCUCUGAUGCUCAACGUUUUAAUCUGCAAAAUGAAGAUAGUAUCUAUCUCAACGUGCUUGUGAAAAAUAAAAGUAUUGAUACUGAUGAAGCGUUAUAAAACAAAGCCUCGCAUUUAACAGUAACUUUUAAAUAGUGGUUAUUUAAUCCACUGGGAUAAGAGAAGAGAGAAGCCUGGAGUUGAGGGUGGGGUUUGAGGGAAAGGGGUAUUUUCUGUCGUGAUCUUGCUGAGGGUUUGGUUUACAGAGGUAUGUGCUUUUGUCAAAACUCGUGAAAUGGUACACUUAAGAUUUGUACACUUCACCAUGUAAAUUCACCUCAAAAAGAACAAAAAUAUUAGUUAUUAUUAGAGCUAGAGACGCUAAUACAGACCAUGGAGAUGUUCUAGGUCCGGUACCCAGAUUUUGCAGAUGAUGAAAAUGAGGCCUAGAGAUUUAAGUAAAUCGGGGGUGGGAGGGGUCUGACCCUGUCGUUCUCUAGUAAUAAAUAUCUCUUGAGAAAUUAUGAUUGAAAAUAGCAAGCUACUGUGUAUGUCAUCCAGUUCUCAGUUGGGGUCACCUUGUCCACAGAGAUUUUUGUUGAAAUUGACUCAAGUCCCCUUUGCACCUCCUGUGGAAAGGCCAGUGUCCUCUCCAAGACUGCACAUUCCGUGAGGGCUUACCAUCUCAGGGUCACUUUUGGCUCUGAGCUCUUGCUUUCUCUGAACACUUAGAUUUCCUCACAUCUCACCUCCUGCAACUCUUUUUCUCUCUACUCCUACUGACAACUAAUGUGGAAAUCAAGCCCUUUUCGCUGGUUGUUUGUAAAGCAGACUCUUCUGAAGGUUUGGAGCAGCUGAGGGAUUUUAAAUGAAGGAUGCAAAUAAACUAAAAUUAGAAUUUCCUGCUCUUAAAAAUCCUUCAGUAUCCCCACAGUAUUGGGAUUCUCUGACCCCCAUCCUCUUUCAGCAUAGACUGCAACUUCCCUCUAUCCACCAUCUCUCUGAUCCCCUCCCUCUCCUCCUCUUUUCUCUCUUUGAAUAGUACUUUGAGUUAUCUCUGUCUCCUAAUCAAUACCUUCAGGGCUCCCUUCCCUUCCUAAGCUGUUUCUCUAAGUAUUUUCCUACACAAAGAAAGUAAGUUCCCCAGGAGGAACUGUAGUGCCAGUUAUUAAAAUAAUAGUUCUUCGCCCCAGUAUAUAUCUGCAUAUUCUGUUUGAUUCAGCCUACAGUGUAGUUAUUCAAUAAAUAUUAUACAGCUUACACACAUGACCUGUCCAGGCUACCUACAUAGUGGGUUCAAUUACGAAAACUAUUUAGUGUAAAUGAGGAAGCAGUUGAUAGUAGCUGGAAUCUGAUGUCUGAGAAAGAAAAGAAACCAAAGUCUCCAUGAUCAUAGUUUAUAUUGCACGGAAGAAAUGACAACAUUCAAGCAAUAAAAUCCAGAACGAAAUCUGAGUAUUAAGCAAUAAUGACAUCCUUAUAGAAGCAACACCUAGAUCUGUCACCUCUAGCAAUUUGGUCACAACUCUGCAUGUAUAAUGAGCAUAUAAAUAGAUUCUCCUUUACUCCUGGAGAAGAUGACACUGAUACGCUAUCAGCUGAACACAUGUUUUUGUAGUAGGGAAUGAGCGUUUCACCUGAUCCAUCUAUCCCUCAUCUGGUUUCCUUGUUACCAGUCGCUUGCAUUUGCCCAGCAGCUGGGUUGUAGUGCAGCCUCCAGCCAUGAGGAAGUCUCCAAAAGCAAGACCCAAUGCAUAACCCUCCUUGUUUUUUGAAGUCAGGAUCCCAUAGCAUCCGCUGAGCAGGACAAGCUACUUGAGGAGAAUGGAUGACAGCAGUGAAAGGAAACAGCUGCUCUGCAGUAAGCUGAAGGAGGGCAGUCACGCGAAGGAAGACUGAGCCACUGAAGCACAGCCUUGAAAAGCUAGCAUGGCUGUGGACAGCUGGGACACCAUGAGGACCGACAAUAAACUUUAGUUUAUUGUUUUCACUACAUACUUUGGACCAGUUCAAGCGAUAGUUAAACACACUGUGUAAAUUCAAAAGAUGGAGCUGAAAGUAAUAACAGAUUGAUCUACACCAAUGCACAAUAUGGUUAAGAGCCACUGUCCUGUUAAAGAGACCUAGUGCGUCUGGUUCAAAUCCAGAAGUUUUUCCUCGGUUCUCAGUCUUCUUGGCCUCUGUAGCAUUGGACUUUGCAGGCCACCCUCCCUAGUGGUCCGUGCCCUUGGUUCUCUUCAAAGCACACGUCAUUGUGUUAUUCACCAGCUCCUCUACCUACUCCUUAAAUGUGGGAGUAGUUCCCAACAUUCAGUCGACACACCCUCUCCAUUUCGAAGCUUUCGUCUCUCAGUGAUGGCGAUGCUCAGAUUCCCCAGGCUAGUUCUGAUCCCCAGGUUCCAGUACUUCCCCAAGCAUGCUGUGUGCUCCCUUCCCUUGCUCUAUCGCUCCUAAUGUGCUCUUCACCUAGAAUGCUAUCCCCCUGCUGUAAAUUCUACCUAUUCUACAAACACUAACUCAGGCCUUUACGUGAAGCCUUUCUAGGUCAUUCCUGCUCGCAGUAUAUCACCCUGCUCUGUGCUCACAAUAUUUCCUGCAUAUAUCACCUACUUGACAACUAACCAUACUGCCUAGUGGCCACUUGUGUAUUGUUUACUCAUUGGCUUUUGUUUUUUCUUCUCAUUAGAUUUCAGACUCCUAUGAUGUACAUUUCUGGAUACUCCC